AUUGAACGCUGGCGGAAUGCUUUACACAUGCAAGUCGAACGGCAGCAUAGGUGCUUGCACCUGAUGGCGAGUGGCGAACGGGUGAGUAAUACAUCGGAACGUGCCCAGUCGUGGGGGAUAACGUAGCGAAAGUUACGCUAAUACCGCAUACGAUCUAAGGAUGAAAGCGGGGGACCGUAAGGCCUCGCGCGAUUGGAGCGGCCGAUGUCAGAUUAGGUAGUUGGUGGGGUAAAGGCUCACCAAGCCGACGAUCUGUAGCUGGUCUGAGAGGACGACCAGCCACACUGGGACUGAGACACGGCCCAGACUCCUACGGGAGGCAGCAGUGGGGAAUUUUGGACAAUGGACGCAAGUCUGAUCCAGCCAUUCCGCGUGCAGGACGAAGGCCUUCGGGUUGUAAACUGCUUUUGUACGGAACGAAAAAGCUCUUACUAAUACUAGGAGUCCAUGACGGUACCGUAAGAAUAAGCACCGGCUAACUACGUG
This 486-nucleotide ribosomal RNA is filed under the name uncultured bacterium. RNAcentral's name for it is "bacterial SSU rRNA". It matches the Rfam family "Bacterial small subunit ribosomal RNA", at positions 30 to 507 of the family's 1533-position model. The record is from RNAcentral.